Small nuclear RNA from Dipodomys ordii (Ord's kangaroo rat), 106 nucleotides. NCBI's taxonomy places the organism in Eukaryota, Metazoa, Chordata, Mammalia, Rodentia, Heteromyidae. The record is from Ensembl.
UGGCUCACUUCAGCAGCACAGAUACUAAAAUUAGAACAAUACAGAGAAGAUUGGCUUUGCCCCUAAGCAAGGAUGACAACAGAGGUGUGAAGCAUUCCAUAUUUUC